GAUGAACGCUGGCGGCGUGCCUAAUACAUGCAAGUCGAGCGAACAGACGAGGAGCUUGCUCCUCUGACGUUAGCGGCGGACGGGUGAGUAACACGUGGAUAACCUACCUAUAAGACUGGGAUAACUUCGGGAAACCGGAGCUAAUACCGGAUAAUAUAUUGAACCGCAUGGUUCAAUAGUGAAAGACGGUUUUGCUGUCACUUAUAGAUGGAUCCGCGCAGCAUUAGCUAGUUGGUAAGGUAACGGCUUACCAAGGCGACGAUGCGUAGCCGACCUGAGAGGGUGAUCGGCCACACUGGAACUGAGACACGGUCCAGACUCCUACGGGAGGCAGCAGUAGGGAAUCUUCCGCAAUGGGCGAGAGCCUGACGGAGCAACGCCGCGUGAGUGAUGAAGGUCUUCGGAUCGUAAAACUCUGUUAUUAGGGAAGAACAAAUGUGUAAGUAACUAUGCACGUCUUGACGGUACCUAAUCAGAAAGCCACGGCUAACUACGUG
Molecule: ribosomal RNA, 497 nt
Filed under: uncultured bacterium
Lineage: Bacteria
Description: partial 16S ribosomal RNA
Rfam family: Bacterial small subunit ribosomal RNA
Source: RNAcentral